Molecule: ribosomal RNA, 377 nt
Filed under: uncultured bacterium
Lineage: Bacteria
Description: bacterial SSU rRNA
Rfam family: Bacterial small subunit ribosomal RNA
Source: RNAcentral
UAAUACAGAGGCCUCGAGCGUUAGGCGGAAUCACUGGGCUUAAAGCGUGUGUAGGCGGAUUGGUAAGUACCUUGUGAAAUCCCACAGCUUAACUGUGGAACUGCUCGGUAUACUGCUGAUCUUGAGCCACUCAGGGGCUACCGGAACAAAUGGUGGAGCGGUGAAAUGCGUAGAUAUCAUUUGGAACGCCAAUGGUGAAAACAGGUAGCUGGGGGUGUGCUGACGCUGAGACACGAAAGCCAGGGGAGCAAACGGGAUUAGAUACCCCGGUAGUCCUGGCCGUAAACGAUGUCGACUAGAUCGUGGUGCCUCUGACGGUGUCACGGUCGUAGCAAAAGUGCUAAGUCGACCGCCUGGGAAGUACGGUCGCAAGGCUA